Molecule: ribosomal RNA, 738 nt
Filed under: uncultured Gammaproteobacteria bacterium
Lineage: Bacteria; Pseudomonadati; Pseudomonadota; Gammaproteobacteria
Description: bacterial SSU rRNA
Rfam family: Bacterial small subunit ribosomal RNA
Source: RNAcentral
ANAGUUUGAUGAUGGCUCAGAUUGAACGCUGGCGGCAGGCCUAACACAUGCAAGUCGAACGGAAACAUGUCUAGCUUGCUAGAUGAUGUCGAGUGGCGGACGGGUGAGUAAUGCCUGGGAAUUUGCCUUUGCGAGGGGGAUAACCAUUGGAAACGAUGGCUAAUACCGCAUAAUACCUACGGGUCAAAGGGGGACUUGUUCCUCCCGCGUGAAGAGGAGCCCAGGUGAGAUUAGCUAGUUGGUGAGGUAAAGGCUCACCAAGGCGACGAUCUCUAGCUGUUCUGAGAGGAAGAUCAGCCACACUGGAACUGAGACACGGUCCAGACUCCUACGGGAGGCAGCAGUGGGGAAUAUUGCACAAUGGGGGAAACCCUGAUGCAGCCAUGCCGCGUGUGUGAAGAAGGCCUUCGGGUUGUAAAGCACUUUCAGUUGUGAGGAAAGGUUAGUAGUUAAUACCUGCUAGCUGUGACGUUAGCAACAGAAGAAGCACCGGCUAACUCCGCGCCAGCAGCCGCGGUAAUACGGAGGGUGCAAGCGUUAAUCGGAAUUACUGGGCGUAAAGCGCACGCAGGCGGUCUGUUAAGCUAGAUGUGAAAGCCCCGCGCUCAACGUGGGAUGGUCAUUUAGAACUGGCAGACUAGAGUUUUGGAGAGGGGAGUGGAAUUCCAGGUGUAGCGGUGAAAUGCGUAGAUAUCUGGAGGAACAUCAGUGGCGAAGGCGACUCUCUGGCCAAAGACU